Molecule: long non-coding RNA, 1399 nt
Organism: Astatotilapia calliptera (eastern happy)
Lineage: Eukaryota; Metazoa; Chordata; Actinopteri; Cichliformes; Cichlidae
Source: Ensembl
UGCAGCUCCGCCAUCUUUAGUCAUCACGGUUCUUUUGUCGCUGCUGCUAAUAACCAGCGGUGCUCCGAAGCGCUUGCUCAUGACCCCAGUUGGUGUGUGUAAAAGCACAGAUUGGAAGAGUGUCACUACAAUUAUAUCUUUAAAUUCAAGUUCAUCACUCUGUGCUUGCUUUGUUAGUUGUUGUUCUGUGUUAAGACCAGCCUGUGGGUUUCUCGUUUAUAAAAUGAAAAGGCUCGUCACAUACAGUACCGUGCAAAAAUCUUGUGGCACCCCUCAUUUUUUUUUAUAUUUUGCUAGACAAAUUGAGAAUCGAUGCAGGGUAUUAUUCAAAUGUUCAAAUAUAAAUGGAAGUAAUGGUAUAUGAAACACAAAUAAUCACACAACUUCAGCCUUUUCUCCAUUUCCUUUCCUUAACACCAGAUGCAUCAAUUGGAGCUUUGUUUGUUUGUUGUUUUUUUUAAGGUUAGCUACUUCUUUUACUUCUUUUUGUCUUGUACUUCCUCAAGUUUUUAAUGACACAGUGCACACCAUGCUGGAAAAUGCCACAUUUUCAGCUAAUAGCUCUUUGGGAAUCACUUUGUUGGUGAAACAGUACUAUUUUAAGUCUGUCAAACUGUAUUAUCUUUGGCAAUUUUCAGUAUGUUGCGCUAAUUAGCUAGGAAAUCCCAACCAUUAGCAUAGGGUAUGGUUAGGUUGCCAGAUGAUUGUGAGGAACACAGAAAGACACCAGUUUAGCUCAAUGUGCAUGUCUUUGGACUGUGGCAAAGAGCCAGGUAUCUGGAGAGAACCCCACAGACGCAGGGAGAACUCCACACAGAAAAGCCCCAGCUGGUUGCUGGAUUCAGGAUCUUCCACGAGCUCCUAGCUGUGAUUUUCAAAAUUAAAGUUAUUAUGAAUACAGAAAAAUCUGGGCAGAUUUUGAUCCACUGUGCAAUAUCCAGGAAGUGUCUGUUUUUUUUUUUUUUUGAUGAAGCAUUUUAGUUAGAUCAAAACUGGAUUGAAGGGGAAAUGAUGUAUGCACUCCGCAUUGGACGGGAAACCAUCUCAUCUGAAGCAGGUGACUGUGUUUUUUCAACUUUUGGUAUCUUUGAAUCCUGAAUCUGACCACUGGGCACCGGUAAGGCUAGUCAUUAGUAGAUGGACCGAUCCGAUAUUACCUAUCGGUAUCGGUCCGAUACAGACCCAAAUUACUGGAUCGGAUAUCGGCGAGAAAUAAAAAAUGUAAUCGAUCCAUUAAAUAUCAAUAAAGGACCUCACAAAACUUGCUACACAGCGUAACUCGGCUCAUAACUGUAGCACGUGAUAGAGCGGCUGUGUGUAUUUGUAGCCUUGCUACCAAACCAGCAUUUCAUCUCAGAGAAAGUGAUCCCAGAGAGAAGUAAAGUAAGUGUAUAACAUU